UACAGAGGUCUCAAGCGUUGUUCGGAUUCAUUGGGCGUAAAGGGUGCGUAGGCGGCGCGGUAAGUCGGGUGUGAAAUCUCGGGGCUUAACUCCGAAACUGCAUUCGAUACUGCGGUGCUUGAGGACUGGAGUGGAGACUGGAAUUUACGGUGUAGCGGUGAAAUGCGUAGAUAUCGUAAGGAAGACCAGUGGCGAAGGCGGGUCUCUGGACAGUUCCUGACGCUGAGGCACGAAGGCCAGGGGAGCAAACGGG
This 253-nucleotide ribosomal RNA is filed under the name uncultured bacterium. Its description in RNAcentral is "partial 16S ribosomal RNA". It matches the Rfam family "Bacterial small subunit ribosomal RNA", at positions 524 to 776 of the family's 1533-position model. The record is from RNAcentral.